Myotis daubentonii (Daubenton's bat) is the source of this 2089-nucleotide long non-coding RNA. RefSeq lists it as uncharacterized. Lineage: Eukaryota; Metazoa; Chordata; Mammalia; Chiroptera; Vespertilionidae. The record is from RefSeq and is a predicted model, not a curated record.
CCGUGUGCCCCAAACCCCAAGGAGAGCAGGGCUGCUUCCAGGGAGGGACCACGUCCAGGCCCCUCGCAGAGCCAGGGACGUCCUCAGGAAGGGCCGCUCCCAACUGUGUUCCCCCCUCUUCCGUUGCCCUUCCCACCCCACCCCUCCUCUGAGGAGAGCAGCCAGGCUCAUGAGGGCACUCCUAAGGGAAAGUAACGGCAAACCUACUAAAAGAUGGACAGCGAUAAGGAAUCCCACGCCUCAUCAAGUCUUAGAUGCAGCCUUUUCGUAAACACCCAAUUAUUUUCAGUUCCACUAAGAAAAGAAGAAACGCUGCCAUUGUGACUAACAGGCCAUGAAACAUGCAUCCUAAUUUCAGAAAGGUUACAAUGUAAAAUGGAUGGAAUGUGGGGAAAGAAACGGGGGGGGGGGGACUCUCCAGAUUUAGCUCAGGGUUCAACACAGUCAUCAAGGACACAGGUAUUUCUCAUCUCUCUACUUGCCACCCUCGGGACCUCACAGGUCCCCUCGGAUUGUAAGACAGCUGCCGUGGCUCCAAGCAUCGGAUCCUCACACAGCAGCAUCCAAAGGAGAGAAAAGGAAGUUUCACCUCAUGCGGCCCUUCUCAGGAAUGAAUCAAACCUUUGUCAGGGGUCCCCAGCAGGCUUCUCCCUGCAGCUUGGGCCAGAACGGCACGGUGUGGUCAUGGCCAAGAAGAGAAUGAAUGACGAAUCGGAGUCCCUCUGGGCCUGGAAAGGGGCCCGGGCUCCCCAGAGGGCCUCUGACACUUACACUAAAUCCGAGUUCUGUUACAAGGAAGAAGCGGAGGAAUCUGCCAUCUGGCUUCACACGGAAACGCUCCUCUUUUCCACCCACACGGUUUCCAGGUGGUACCCACGCUUCCAUCCGAAAGCUAGCCCGCACCUUUAGCAUAUUCUCUCUUCCCGGAGGAAGUCCUGGCUCUGAAGCCCUCAGAAGCGUUCCCCUCGCCCAGAGCAGACCCCAACCCCCAGAUGAAGCUCCGCCUGCACCACCUCCAGGGCCACACGGGCAGGCAGGGGAGGGGAGAAGGGAUGCAGUUCCCUCAUUUUCUGAUAUUCCAGGACCCGCUUAUUUCAUAACUUGUCCUGCGAUUUCUAACUCCAUUUUAGCAUAAACAUAACUCAGUGCCCGCUGGAUUGACCACAGCGAGGUGCAACCCACUUUUCAGGGGAUUCCUGCCACUCCAGACGUAUGUGACAUAUACAAUGGCCAGACAAGACUCUCUAGCAGGUGUGAAGUGCCAGUGGGCGAUUCAGAGGCUACCACUGAAUUAAGCCUGAGAGAGAACGCUGCAGCUGGCGGGAUGAGCCUCGGGGUAGAGGGGCGCUUGACGGGGCCCUGGAGGACGGAUAGGCUCCAGGGAGCCUGAGUUCGGGAGAGCCCGAUUCAGGACGCUGAGUCAGCAUCACAAAUAAAUGGCAGGCAGCCGCCACCCUUUCCCUCCUGGUUGGCGGUUCUGGCUGAUCGCUCAGGAUACACUUAUAGGGGAGUCUUCUUAACCUAGCUCCUCCCAACCGUUCACAAUAGUUGCUUAGGGGGACAUCAUUUUCCCUCCCUGCUCUGAAUUCAGUUACUUGAUGUUCUAACAUGAGGUCAGUCCCAAUAAAACAGUGGGAGCCCUUUGCUCCUAAAAUCCAGGCAUGUGGGCAUUCGGGGUAUUAGCAUUCAGCCUGUCUGCUCUUCACGUGCUAUUGGGUUUGCACCGCAGCCCUGUUUAUCUCAGAGUCCUCAGGUGUGACUGCCAGGACGUUCCAUCCAAAGCCCUCAGGUAGAUGGGGAGGAGUCCCCUCAGUCAGAACCCACACCUGGGUAACAUCUACCAGUUCAGCUGCAGUCAUACAUUCUCCUUCGGGUUGUUUGAAUAACUAACCACCUAACACCAGUCACCACACCACCAUGUUGGAGGUUGAAAGAUGUCAUCACUGUUAUGUGAUUUCUGAGCUUGACCUGGAAAUUUCAGCCACAGUAAAGAAAACGCUAUUUUUGUUAUUAUUAUGUUUUGUUAAUCCUCACCCAAUGAAAAAAUAUCCAUUGAUUUUUAGAGUGGGAGAGAGGGGGGAGAGAGAGA